RNAcentral lists this non-coding RNA (29 nucleotides) under Rattus norvegicus (Norway rat). Lineage: Eukaryota; Metazoa; Chordata; Mammalia; Rodentia; Muridae. The record is from RNAcentral.
UUCAAAACGCCAACAGCAUUCUGACGUCC